Molecule: long non-coding RNA, 342 nt
Organism: Frieseomelitta varia
Lineage: Eukaryota; Metazoa; Arthropoda; Insecta; Hymenoptera; Apidae
Exons: 2
Source: RefSeq, a predicted model, not a curated record
CUCAUGGGUGGCCGCUGCCUGACUUACUAGAUGGCUAGGUUGGUGGCGUACCAGUAGCAGUAACAGUCGUGGUGUAGUAAUAAAUGUGAUAGUAGUAGUAGUAGUAGUAGUAGUGCUAGUAGUAAUAGUAGUAGUAGUAAGUAGUAAGUAGUAAGUAGUAAGUAGUAAGUAGUAAGUAGUAAGUAGUAGUAGUAAUAGUUAUAUGAUGGAGCAGUCAUUAUGAUGGGUAAUAUAAAGGGUCAAUAACAAAGUUGAGUAAUAAGAUGUCAAGAGUAUAAAUGUAAUGCAGAAGGAUUUAUAGAGUGGCAAUAAUGGUGACAUGAUAUUUCAUAAAGGAUAUAA